Molecule: ribosomal RNA, 549 nt
Filed under: Escherichia coli
Lineage: Bacteria; Pseudomonadati; Pseudomonadota; Gammaproteobacteria; Enterobacterales; Enterobacteriaceae
Description: bacterial SSU rRNA
Rfam family: Bacterial small subunit ribosomal RNA
Source: RNAcentral
GAAGUUUUCAGAGAUGAGAAUGUGCCUUCGGGAACCGUGAGACAGGUGCUGCAUGGCUGUCGUCAGCUCGUGUUGUGAAAUGUUGGGUUAAGUCCCGCAACGAGCGCAACCCUUAUCCUUUGUUGCCAGCGGUCCGGCCGGGAACUCAAAGGAGACUGCCAGUGAUAAACUGGAGGAAGGUGGGGAUGACGUCAAGUCAUCAUGGCCCUUACGACCAGGGCUACACACGUGCUACAAUGGCGCAUACAAAGAGAAGCGACCUCGCGAGAGCAAGCGGACCUCAUAAAGUGCGUCGUAGUCCGGAUUGGAGUCUGCAACUCGACUCCAUGAAGUCGGAAUCGCUAGUAAUCGUGGAUCAGAAUGCCACGGUGAAUACGUUCCCGGGCCUUGUACACACCGCCCGUCACACCAUGGGAGUGAGUUGCAAAAGAAGUAGGUAGCUUAACCUUCGGGAGGGCGCUUACCACUUUGUGAUUCAUGACUGGGGUGAAGUCGUAACAAGGUAACCGUAGGGGAACCUGCGGUUGGAUCACCUCCUUACCUUAAAGA